UACAAAGGGUGCAAGCGUUAUUCGGAAUUAUUGGGCGUAAAGGGCGCGUAGGCGGCUUUGCAAGUGACGGGUGAAAUCCCACGGCUUAACCGUGGAACUGCCUGUCAGACUGCAUGGCUUGAGACCAGGAGAGGUGAGUGGAAUUCCUAGUGUAGAGGUGAAAUUCGUAGAUAUUAGGAAGAACACCAGUGGCGAAGGCGGCUCACUGGUCAGGUACUGACGCUGAGGUGCGAAAGCGUGGGGAGCAAACAGG
RNAcentral lists this ribosomal RNA (253 nucleotides) under uncultured bacterium. Its description in RNAcentral is "partial 16S ribosomal RNA". It matches the Rfam family "Bacterial small subunit ribosomal RNA", at positions 524 to 776 of the family's 1533-position model. The record is from RNAcentral.